CUGGCUCAGGACGAACGCUGGCGGCGUGCUUAACACAUGCAAGUCGAACGGAAAGGCCCAGCUUGCUGGGUACUCGAGUGGCGAACGGGUGAGUAACACGUGGGUGAUCUGCCCUGCACUCUGGGAUAAGCCUGGGAAACUGGGUCUAAUACCGGAUAUGACCAACUGUCGCAUGGUGGUUGGUGGAAAGCUUUUGCGGUGUGGGAUGGGCCCGCGGCCUAUCAGCUUGUUGGUGGGGUAAUGGCCUACCAAGGCGACGACGGGUAGCCGACCUGAGAGGGUGAUCGGCCACACUGGGACUGAGACACGGCCCAGACUCCUACGGGAGGCAGCAGUGGGGAAUAUUGCACAAUGGGCGCAAGCCUGAUGCAGCGACGCCGCGUGAGGGAUGAACGGCCUUCGGGUUGUAAACCUCUUUC
Molecule: ribosomal RNA, 419 nt
Filed under: Gordonia sp. RKBH-B113
Lineage: Bacteria; Bacillati; Actinomycetota; Actinomycetes; Mycobacteriales; Gordoniaceae
Description: bacterial SSU rRNA
Rfam family: Bacterial small subunit ribosomal RNA
Source: RNAcentral